UACGUAGGGUGCGAGCGUUGUCCGGAAUUAUUGGGCGUAAAGAGCUCGUAGGCGGUUUGUUGCGUCGGCCGUGAAAACUCAGGGCUUAACUCUGAGCCUGCGGUCGAUACGGGCAGACUUGAGUUCGGUAGGGGAGACUGGAAUUCCUGGUGUAGCGGUGAAAUGCGCAGAUAUCAGGAAGAACACCCGUGGCGAAGGCGGUUCUCUGGGCCGAUACUGACGCUGAGGAGCGAAAGCGUGGGGAGCGAACAGG
RNAcentral lists this ribosomal RNA (253 nucleotides) under uncultured bacterium. RNAcentral's name for it is "partial 16S ribosomal RNA". It matches the Rfam family "Bacterial small subunit ribosomal RNA", at positions 524 to 776 of the family's 1533-position model. The record is from RNAcentral.